RNAcentral lists this ribosomal RNA (334 nucleotides) under uncultured bacterium. RNAcentral's name for it is "bacterial SSU rRNA". It matches the Rfam family "Bacterial small subunit ribosomal RNA", at positions 32 to 342 of the family's 1533-position model. The record is from RNAcentral.
AAUCAACGCUGGCGGCGUGCCUCAGACAUGCAAGUCGAACGCGAAAGUCCCCUUCGGGGAGUGAGUAGAGUGGCGCACGGGUGAGUAACACGUAGGUAAUCUACCUUCGGAUGGGGAAGUAACAACCGGAAACGGUUGCUAAUACCGCAUAAUGCAGCGGCACCUAAUGGUGGACAGUUGUUAAAGCGGGGGAGUCGAAAGACCUCGCGUCUGAAGAGGAGCCUGCGGCGGAUUAGCUAGNGGUUAAGGUAAUGGCUUACCAAGGCGACGAUCCGUAACCGGCCUGAGAGGGCGGUCGGUCACACUGACACUGACAUACGGGUCAGACUCCUAC